Molecule: long non-coding RNA, 979 nt
Filed under: Astyanax mexicanus (Mexican tetra)
Lineage: Eukaryota; Metazoa; Chordata; Actinopteri; Characiformes; Acestrorhamphidae
Description: lncRNA (ENSAMXG00005009285.1)
Source: RNAcentral
GUUUUAAACAAUGUUUGUCUAAUGUAACAUUAAGAUUACUCAUUUGUAUGUUAGAUGAAUACUAGAAGGUGCAGAGGUGGGGGAGCCAAAGAACCUCAAAGGGCUUCCUCUCCAGAAAGGAGUGUCCCACAGUCACCUCAACAGCAUAAAGCAGCAUCACCCACAGCCCAGCACAGUUUGGAAGUGACCAAGGUUCUUCUGGCUGCUGAAAAAGAAAAAGUGAAAGGCCUCCAAGAAACCAUUAAAGAACUGCAAGCAGAUAAAUUAUUUUUACAGGAACAGCUUUCCUGUAAGAACAAAGAACAAAAAGGGUCAUUCUCAAGCCUUUCAGGGUCUUCUCCCAGUUGUUCAGGAGUCACAAAACAUGUUGAUCUCAAAGGUAUCACUAAAUUUUAUAGGCUAUGUUAUAAAUGUGUAGCAUUUAAAAAUGUAACUAAUUUGACCUUAUUUAUAUGGCAGGAAAGAGAAAUGCAGCAGAUGACACAGAAGAGAUCACAGAUGUGUCUACAGAAUCCCCCAGCACUGAUACAUCUCACUCUGAUGAAGAAAUUAAGGUCGUACCAACAAAAGAAAGAAAAGAAAGGAAAAGGCAAAAAGUCUCUGAAGAUUAGUCAUGACCCAGCACAUACUCGAGGUAAGACAUUGGCGAGCCAAUUUUUGUUCCCUUUUUUAUGGAAGCAGGAAAAGUGAUUAAGGGGAUAGCACAAAUAGUUGUUGACUAAAUCACUGCAGUCCUGAGAAUGACCCAUCAUCAAAAUAAUAGCUGCUCUGUGGCGGUCCUGUGGGGUCCUGAGCAUUGAGGGUGAAAGUAGGAUGAUAAAGUAUGCCAAGAAGCAGAUACAGGACUACAGCCUGUAAUUAUACUACUACAGUGUCCUAUAGGAAAAGUGGAGCUGAAACAAUGGAUAAUGGGUGUAGAAACAAGGUCAUGAUUAGGGGUGGAAAUCUCCAAGCACUUUACGAUUCGAUUCGAUUACGA